UUGGUUUAGGAUUUGGUUUAAGGUUUGAUUAGGAUUUGAAUUAGGGUUUGAUUUAGGGUUUAGGAUUUAGGAUUUGGUUAGGGUUUGAUUUAGGAUUUAGGAUUUUGAUUAGGAUUUGAUUUAGGAUUUAGGGUUUGAUUAGGAUUUGGUUUAGGAUUUAGGGUUUGGAUUAGGAUUUGAUUAGGGUUUAUUUAGAGUUUAGGAUUUAGAAUUUUAUUAGGAUUUAAGAUUCAAUUAAUUUUGGCCUAAAGUUUUAAUGAAGUUCAAUAAGAUUUUAAUUAGAAUUAAAUGAAGAUUGAAUUGAGAUAUAUUUGAGUGAUAUUUUUGAUCCUUCUAAUAUUUAUUUAAGAAUUCUUAUUGUUUGUUUGAAAUUUCUUUGAGGUUUUUUUGAAUUUGAUUAAGCUUGCUUAGCAUUAUUAUGAUCUAAUUAGAGCAUUGUUAGUAUUCUA
This 449-nucleotide long non-coding RNA is filed under the name Physcomitrium patens. RNAcentral describes it as "long non-coding RNA (PPAT_LNC011856)". Lineage: Eukaryota; Viridiplantae; Streptophyta; Bryopsida; Funariales; Funariaceae. The record is from RNAcentral.